GUGGUUCUCACAGUCUUAUCCCAGACCGGCAGCAGGAACAUCACUCAGAACCAGUAAGAAGUUCACGUCCUCUGCUCCACCUCAGGAAUCCUGAAUCAGACACCCUGGAGGCAGAGCCUAGCCAUUUUGUUUUCAGAAACCCUCGGGCCAAUUCUGUGAUAUUCAAGAAGUUCUGAGAACCACUAGAAAAGCCUCUAUAUAGGCCAGAAGCAGAUUCUACACCCAAGAGGCCGACUGCCACGCCGCCAAGGAGGCCCAAGAGGGCAAGGAAUGAGCCGGUCCAGUGGUUAGCAGCAGUGUGAUAGGACGAGAACCUGGUUGGCCUCGUCAAGCACCACAGCUUCUGAUAGGGAAGAAGUUCUCAUACCAGGCAUCCUCAAGGGUUACCAGUAAGUCAGUGGAUGGGAUGUCGUUGAAUCAGGGUCCCACUCCUCGUCUGAUCAUCCAUGGCUUGCUGCAUUCUUUAUAUACAGUGAGGCACCUGAGAAAACGUUGAGCACAUUAACAGGAUGACAUUUUAAAGCCGUGACUCUAAACGACCCCCUCUCCCGAGGCAGGUGGGCUCUCGGGUCACUCUCAGAGGAUCACCGUCCAGACUGACGAGCCCUGACUGAGCCCUGCGAUGUCUGUCACCCGCCUCAACAAAACGAGCUCGGAAUUCCCUGUACUCAUCUGAUCAGAAAUGAGGAAUGGCUGGGAGGUGCCCGGCAGACAGGGCGUCUGGGGAAGAGGACAUUAAUUGAUGCUAAUCUGACCGGGACCUGGAGAGAAAGCCAAAGUCACUUCGAGAGCUGAGCCAGGGUGUCAUUGCUCUGCUUAUGUGACAUGGGAAGUGGGUUAGGACCCAGGCCUGAUACCGGCUAGGGGUUCCGAGGGAAGAGUCAGAGGCCACUGUCACCAGCCAGCAAAUGAUGCUGAGGCAAACGACUCUGGGCACUAAGAGAGAGGUCAGCAAUAAGAAUGGGA
Molecule: long non-coding RNA, 966 nt
Organism: Mustela erminea (ermine)
Lineage: Eukaryota; Metazoa; Chordata; Mammalia; Carnivora; Mustelidae
Exons: 3
Source: RefSeq, a predicted model, not a curated record